CACGUAGGGGGCGAGCGUUGUCCGGAUUUAUUGGGCGUAAAGAGCUCGUAGGCGGCUCGGUAAGUCGGGUGUGAAAACUCAGGGCUCAACCCUGAGACGCCACUCGAUACUGCCGUGGCUUGAGUCCGGUAGGGGAGCGUGGAAUUCCUGGUGUAGCGGUGAAAUGCGCAGAUAUCAGGAGGAACACCGGUGGCGAAGGCGGCGCUCUGGGCCGGUACUGACGCUGAGGAGCGAAAGCGUGGGGAGCAAACAGG
This 254-nucleotide ribosomal RNA is filed under the name uncultured bacterium. RNAcentral's name for it is "partial 16S ribosomal RNA". It matches the Rfam family "Bacterial small subunit ribosomal RNA", at positions 524 to 776 of the family's 1533-position model. The record is from RNAcentral.